GAGGUGGGGGUUUUGUGCCGUAAAAGCCAGAUGUUUGGAAGUUUUCCGCUUUAGUUUUUGAGUGUGAACAACUAGAAAACUCAGAACUUCUUACUUUCUCCGAAGCUGUCUGGGCUCGAAGAAGCCAGGAUACUGACUGCGGUGGGUUCAGCUUCCACCCUCCCAGCAAUUAUCACCUACUCGUACCUCCCUCUCUGACAAUUUCUCUGCUUGAGGGCAUCCCAGGGCUGUCAGUCCCAACUCGGCUGGUGAAUUCAUUUGGAAAAUCAGACCGAAUCCCCCUCUUCAAAUUCUCUUGCCUUCUUUUCACAAGAGCCCCUCAGCGCAGGGAGCCCAGACUCACCUGGCAACCUGGCAGGAGCAAAGCUCAGGGAACUCCUGUCUCUCUCCUCUGACUGGACUUCACGGUGGCACACGCCGUGGAAAUGCCGUCCUCCAAAGCACAUGGGUCAGAAGCAGGGACCUUCUGAUCAGGACGGCUUGUUGAGCUCAGAGUUGCCCAGCCUCUCUCCCCUCAUCAAACAACGGGAAGUUUUGGAGUUCCUGCAGCUCUGGCGUGCUGUCACCCCAUCAAAUGGCGCUUCUUGAAUGUCCACUUGGACUCGCAGCCCUGCCUGUUGCCCGCUGGGAUUUCCCUUUGACUCAGUUUCAGGGGCGAGUUGUUCUCCUGCUUUGUUCAUUUGGAUUAGAAACCCCAUGACGUCCAACCUGGCUUGCAUUUUUCCUUCUCUUUUUUGAAACAAUAAAAAUGUUUGGGAGGGAUUCUGGACUACAUUAGGGAUCGUUUUCAAUUUUCCUGUGAGCCAUAUGGAAAGACUCACCUCCACUUACAGCUUUUCCCUGAGACUGUCUGACCCACGGUCAACACCACAAAAUGGAAAAGACCUUUCGGGCAGGCAGCAUUUCAGCACACUUCCUGCCCUUGUCCUCCACUGACCUCAGCUCAAGUCAACUCACAGGAAGGCAGGACUUUGACGGUCGGGCCCAAGGAAACCGUCAGUCCUGGGGUGCCCCCUCCUCACUGACGCUAGGGCUCCCCAAACUCUGAAAGGUGAAAUUGGGGCUGCGUAUGGGGUGGGGAUUGGGGUGGCACAGGUGUUUCUCUUCCUUGGUUGAGGGAGAAAGAUCAGUGGCAUUUGUCCCGUUUGGUGCUGGUGCUGCCUCAAGGCCUCCUUGAGUUAAUGGAGAAAAGUCAUAAAAUGCAGUCUAGUGGCCUAGCUAUGUUUUCCUUGCAAAUACAGAUGUAAAUUACUCCGGCACAGAGAGUUUGAAUGGCUGAGUAAAUGUUUGACCUUCAGUAAGAUUUCAGAAUUGAGGUGUUUGGGUCUUUUUGCAUCAUUAGAAAACAUGUACCUGCACGUGACAAGUUAAGGGGGUGACAGAAGUAAAGACAAACAAGAUCAUUCACAGACGAUGGGAGUCGGGCUGGGGAGCUGGAAAACUCAGCGCCUGCCUUCAAGGCUCGUGAGACUUUUUGAUAUGGGGAUUAGAAUUAGCUGCAGAAGGAGCCCGCGGUAGGGAGAUUUUACAGGAAAGGUUCUUCGGGUGGAGGGAGAGACGGAAUCUGUGGAAGCAGAUCCCGCUCUGGCCAAGCGGGGCGAGAGGUCUUGAGGCUAUAGAGAAAGGAGAAAGAAGAGACUUAAGGCUGUUUGGUGCAUGGGGACUGGGGGAGAAAGGAGGGGGAAAGAGAGAGAGACGGAGGAAUGACUAGUGAGAAGUUUUGCUGUGAAUAAGCCUGGAAUCUCUUUGGGCGUUUUUCCAGAAACUCCGAUAAAGAUUUUGCUUUCUUCUCAAUUACUCUCAGUUGUUGCACGUGACACUGACUGGCUGUGAUCCUGAUGGAAGCCUGGGGCCCAACGUGGUCCAGAUGUACUUGGGUCACGGAGGAUGUGAUGGUGCAUCCUUCAGGGAGAAGAGGAAGAAGAACAAAGUGCGUCCCUGGAGACGUGGGAGCGCAGUUUCACCAAGAAACGAACUGCGGCCUU
RNAcentral lists this long non-coding RNA (1985 nucleotides) under Equus caballus (horse). Its description in RNAcentral is "lncRNA (ENSECAG00000056932.1)". The record is from RNAcentral. Lineage: Eukaryota; Metazoa; Chordata; Mammalia; Perissodactyla; Equidae.